AUGCCCACCCUGCCUCAUAUUGUGCCGGAAUGGUAUUUCCUACCGACCCAUGCCAUUCUUCGCAGUAUACCUGACAAAGCGGGAGGUGUAGCCGCAAUAGCACCAGUUUUUAUAUCUCUCUUGGCUUUACCUUUUUUAAAGAAAUGUAUGUGCGUAGUUCAAGUUUUCGACCGAUUCACCAAGGAAUAUUUUGGUUGCUUUUGGCAGAUUGCUUACUACUAG
This 222-nucleotide ribosomal RNA is filed under the name Triticum aestivum (bread wheat). RNAcentral describes it as "partial small subunit ribosomal RNA". Lineage: Eukaryota; Viridiplantae; Streptophyta; Magnoliopsida; Poales; Poaceae. The record is from RNAcentral.